Long non-coding RNA from Cyprinus carpio (common carp), 1749 nucleotides. RefSeq lists it as uncharacterized. Lineage: Eukaryota; Metazoa; Chordata; Actinopteri; Cypriniformes; Cyprinidae. The record is from RefSeq and is a predicted model, not a curated record. The transcript is spliced from 2 exons.
AAACCUAAUGAAAGAACCAUUUCACUCACUCACACACACAUACAAACACACUCAGGUGUGUGUGUGUGUAAUGGCUUGACUGUGGUGUUUUUCAGUGCACACUGACAUAUACUCUACUCAGCACUUACUAACUAAAAAUACCUCAAAGUACCACAGAAUAACAGUUUUUUUUUUUUAAACAUGAUAUGAUGGUAAUACCACAGUAUUCACUGUAUUGUUGUAGCUGUACAUUUAUCAGUUGCCAGGACAUUUCUGUGUGGUUGCCAAGAUGUUCUUAGGGUUUUUAGCACAUUGUAAUGUGGUUUCUGUGGUGUCUGGGUGGUUCCCAGGGUGUUGCUAUGGUAUUUGUUAGGCUGAUUGCUAGUGUGUUCUGGUGGUUGCUGGGAGUAGCUAGGAAACUGUUAGAAGGGUUGCUAGGUUGUUCUUUGUGGUUGCCAGGAAGUUGCUAGGGCACUUUUAGAAGGGUUGUUAGGUUGUUAUUUGUGGUUGCCAGGGAGUUUCUACUGCAUUUGUUAGGGGGUUUCUAGGUUGUUUGGGACUGAUUGCUAGUGUUUUCUGGGUGGUUGCCAGGGAGUUGCUAGGGCACUGUUAGGAGGGUUGCUAGGUUGCUUCUUUGUGUUUGCCAGGGAGUUUCUAGGGCAUUGUUGGGGGUUGCUAGAUUGCUUUGGAUGGUUGCUGAGACACUAUUAGAGAGUUGCUAGGUUGUUCUUUGCGGUUGCCAGGGAGUUGCAGGUGCAUUGUUAGAAUGUUGUUCCUUUGUUUUGGGUAGUUGCCAGGAAGUUGCUUUGUCAUUAGUAGGAGGUUUCUAUGGCAUUCUGAGUGGUUGUCAGGGAGUUGCUAGUGCACUGUUAGAAGAGUUGCUAGGUUGUUUUUUUGGUUGCCAGGGACAUGCUAGGGCAUUUGUUAAGGGGUUUCUAGGUUGUUUGGGGCUGAUUGCUAGUGUGUUCUGGGUGGUUGCCAGGGAGUUACUAGGGAAUUGCUAGAAGGGUUGCUAGGUUGUUCUUGUUGGUUGCCAGGGAGUUGCUAAGUUUUUAUCGACUAAAAUGCUCAGACAUUUAGUCGACUAAAACACAACUAAACAAAAGCAGCACAAGGUUGAUUAAAUAUGAUAAUAACUAAAACGUACUUGGACACAGGACUAAGACUAAGCCUAAAUUACAAAUGUCUGACAAAAUUAACACUAAUUACUUGGCCAUUCGAGGGUUGCUUGGUUGUUUUGAGUGUUGUUGGAGUGUUCUGGGUCACUUCUGUGGUGUUUUGCUUGGUUUCCAGGUUGUUGUUAUGGCGUUAUUAGAAGAUUGCUAGGUUGUUUUGGGUGGUUGUUACAAUGUUCAGGGAGGUUGGAGCACAAACUCUGCAGGACAACACAGACACUCAACUUUAAGAAAAGUGAAAAGUGACGUGACAUUCAGCCAAGUAUGCUCAGAAUUCAUGCUCUGCAUUUAACCCAUCCAAAGUGCACACACACAUACCGUGAACACACACCCGGAGCAGUGGGCAGCCAUUUAUGUUGCGGUGCCCGGGGAGCGGUUGGGGGUUCGGUUCCUUGCUUAAGGGGACCUCAGUCGUGGUAUUGCCAGCCCGAGACUCAAACUCACAACCUUAGGGUUAGGAGUUGAACUCUCUAACCACUAGGCCACGACUACCCCAAGACUUUAACACUGAGUUCUUGAGGUUUGUUGACAUAGUAGGCCGCAUAGUGAUAACUGACUUAUUAAACAACACUACUAAACCAAGAAAGAAAAAAAA